AAGACUUCGAUGUUGGUCCAAUGU
Molecule: non-coding RNA, 24 nt
Filed under: Arabidopsis thaliana (thale cress)
Lineage: Eukaryota; Viridiplantae; Streptophyta; Magnoliopsida; Brassicales; Brassicaceae
Source: RNAcentral